GUACAGAAUGGGUGCGCUUAGGCUUGAAGUGUGGGGAGCAAAUAGGAUUAGAUACCCUAGUAGUCCACACUGUAAACGAUGGAUGUUAAGUGUCGGAGCGAAUACUUCGGUGCUGCAGUUAACACAUUAAACAUCCUGCCUGAGUAGUACAUUCGCAAGAAUGAAACUCAAACGGAAUUGACGGGGACCCGCACAAGUGGUGGAGCAUGUUGCUUAAUUCGACGGUACACGAAAAACCUUACCUAGACUUGACAUCUUGGGCGAAGCUAUAGAAAUAUAGUGGAGGUCAACCCAAUGACAGGUGGUGCAUGGUUGUCGUCAGCUCGUGUCGUGAGAUGUUGAGUGAGGUCCCGCAACGAGCGCAGCCGUGAGCGUUAGUUACUUUGUCUGACGAGACUGCCAACGUAAGUUGGAGGAAGGUGGGGAUGACGUCAAAUCAUCAUGCCCCUUAUGUCUAGGGCUGCAAACGUGCUACAAUGGCCAAUACAAACAGUUGGCAAAUCCG
RNAcentral lists this ribosomal RNA (505 nucleotides) under Mycoplasmoides gallisepticum. RNAcentral's name for it is "bacterial SSU rRNA". It matches the Rfam family "Bacterial small subunit ribosomal RNA", at positions 730 to 1257 of the family's 1533-position model. Lineage: Bacteria; Bacillati; Mycoplasmatota; Mycoplasmoidales; Mycoplasmoidaceae. The record is from RNAcentral.